RNAcentral lists this ribosomal RNA (460 nucleotides) under uncultured bacterium. RNAcentral's name for it is "partial 16S ribosomal RNA". It matches the Rfam family "Bacterial small subunit ribosomal RNA", at positions 338 to 795 of the family's 1533-position model. The record is from RNAcentral.
CCUACGGGUGACAGCAGUGAGGAAUAUUGGUCAAUGGACGAGAGUCUGAACCAGCCAAGUAGCGUGAAGGAUGACUGUACUAUGUGUUGUAAACUUCUUUUAUAAAGGAACAAAACGAGGCACGCGUGCCUGUAUGCAUGUACCUGAAGAAAAAGCAUCGGCUAACUCCGUGCCAGCAGCCGCGGUAAUACGGAGGAUGCGAGCGUUAUCCGGAUUUAUUGGGUUUAAAGGGUGCGUAGAUGGUUUGUUAAGUCAGUUGUUAAAGUUUGCGGCUCAACCGUCGAACUGCAGUUGAAACUGGCAGUCUUGAGUACGGUUGAGGUAGGCGGAAUUCGUGGUGUAGCGGUGAAAUGCUUAGAUAUCGCGAAGAACCCCGAUUGCGAAGGCAGCUUACUAAACUGUGACUGACAUUGAUGCUCGAAAGUGUGGGUAUCGAACAGGAUUAGAUACCCUAGUAGUC